This 2428-nucleotide long non-coding RNA is filed under the name Triticum aestivum (bread wheat). RNAcentral's name for it is "long non-coding RNA (TAES_LNC020656)". The record is from RNAcentral. Lineage: Eukaryota; Viridiplantae; Streptophyta; Magnoliopsida; Poales; Poaceae.
UUAGGUUACUCCAUAUCAAAUCUCUUGGAGGUUGGUUUCAUAAAAGUUCUGACAUGAUGCUAGAGUUGCUAAAAGAGGCCUUCCCAACAGCUACAUGCUUACCUACUUGACAUAUAAUGUGCCAUUAAUUUUCUUUUCAGGAAAAAGAAUGGAACAAGAAAGAUACUAAGAUAAUUUUGAAGAACGAGAGGAAGAAUGGAACAAGAAAGAGACUAAGACAAUGUUCAAGAACGAGAGGAAGAGAGGCUACCGAGAAUUAGAACAACAAAUGGCCAGGAUUUUGAAUGGUUUGGCCGCCUUACAUUUUCAAAUAUAAAUGAAGAAUUUGGAGGCCCAGCUAGUCAGUGACAAACUAAAAGGAAGAAGGUGAUAUACCAUGCCAUUAAUUUUCUUUUCAGUUCCCAUGAUUUGGCUGUUUUAAGUGGUGGAAUGAUAAUGUAUUAUGUUUGUUUGUUGAACCUCGGGAAUAGCUUUGCAAAUAACAAACUUCAGUACAAAGAUGUCAAAGUUUUGAUAUAAACUGUACUAACUUAUAAUUGCAUAUUAUAAUUAUAGUGAACUAGAUAGGCGCUCACAUGCUAGUGGUCUGCGGUGACAUUUUAAGCUCUUGUUUAUUGUCUUUAAUGCCAGUGUGUAGCAGCCAGCAAAAUUAGCUCUACUUCUUGGUGUGAAUUUAUGAUGGUUAUUUAGUUUAUUUUAUUUUUACACUGCAUCAUGCUAUGUUUCAUGAGUAUAAACAUGAUAUGCUUGGCAUGCAGUUUUGGGGGAAAAAGGAAGCAUCUCAUGUGUAAAUUUCGUUUGACCUUGCAUUUUACUGCUUACUAUUUACUAUACAUCCAGAAUUGUACUUGGAAGUGUCAUUAUAGUUCUUUAGAAGUGGGCUUUUGUGUCCAUCAGCCAUGAUUUUGUAGAGAUGCCAGUUGAAUAAAUCUGAUUCUCUAAUCUCGCAAGGAUAAUGAUUAACUUCUGUAUAUAUAGAUACUCCUACAGCAUGUAUAAAAAAGAUAAUUUGAGUCAUUUCUCAUAAUUGGAUCCUCUUUCUUUCAUGUACAUGAAUUAUUUCAGCUUAUUUGUAUGUAGAAAGCCUUGGUUUUAUUUUCUAGGCUAAUUCAACUUGUGCAAGAUGUAGGAAAGUGAACCAAUAAAAAUUGUUUAUUGAACCAAAUGUUUGUAGUGUUUCACUGGAUUAAAUCUGUGGGCUUGUCACUAAUCGGAUACCAUUUAGGGGACCUUAAUUUCUCCAGCUAGUUUCCCUCUUAUUUUGUGUAGUACAUGUAGAGAGCUUAGAAGGAAAAGCAAGCUCAAAUACAAGCUAAUUUAAUUCACUGGCUAGUACAGUAACUUAGCGCAUUCAACCUGCUUAUACCAAUUUGCUUAUUGCCGUAACUUAUAUCACUCUAUUUCUCGAUCCUGCUUGAAGGUGCAACUGUAACUUUGCAUAUGUGCUUGUUCAAUACAGUAGCUUCAAAAUGCGCUUGUGUAAUAUUUAGUGUGUGAUUGUGGCCUCGUGCUUGUGUUUCCAAAUGCAGAAGACAAUCAAAUGGUCAUCAAUUCUGUUUGCUUUACUUCGGUACAGGAAUAGCCUCACUACAAGAUAGGUACACCUACUAAUUACUGUUGAUAUUUGUUAAUAUCUGUACAGACUUUGCAAACUAUAUUUGGAUGAGAAGUAAGAGAAGCUUGCUACUGUCAAGAUGAUAAAAAAUGGACAUGUUCUCUACUAAAGUAGAGAUUACUCUAGAGAUGGUACUAGUUGCUCUAUGUUUCAGAACAUAUACGGCUGUUGUAUGUGGUUGUUGUCACAUCUUCCUGUUUAUAGACUUUGCACAUUACAUUUUGAUGAGAAGAUAAGCUUGCUACUGUUAAGAUGAUAAAAAAUGGACACCUUCUCUACUAUAGUAGAGAUUAGUCUAGAGAAAAUAUGCGGCUGUUGUAUGUGAUUGUUGUAACAUCUUCCUUAAGUUCUGAAUGCUGCUGUUGUAUGUAACAUCUUACGAUCUAUGGCAGCUGCAGAUUUCCCAAAGGUGAACAAGUUCACUAAGGUUUGGAAGAUUUUCAAGCUGAUGAAGAUUUGGAAGACCUACAAUGUCCUGCGUCUUGUUUGUUGAACCUAGACAUUUGCUCUGCUCAUUUUGGUGGUGGUUUGGCUGUGUGGCACACAUCUAGAAGCAUAUGUACAUCUUUUGUGGCACUACUUUAGUUUGGUUGUGGGGUAAACAUAUAUAUGUACUCCUUUCGUGGCACAACCUCUACAUAUAUUGUCGUUAUGUUUAUCAAAUGAAGUUUAAGGUUUUCGAUGAGGCCUAUAUGUUACAUUGGUUGAAGUGCGUGUAUAAAUUGUGUGAUAUGUCUUGAUUGUCUGGACAUAUAUAAUGGAUGGAUAUUACAUAAUAGCGAUGCCUAGAACAUUUCGCUAGUGAAAUUAACA